Molecule: long non-coding RNA, 2120 nt
Filed under: Nicotiana tabacum (common tobacco)
Lineage: Eukaryota; Viridiplantae; Streptophyta; Magnoliopsida; Solanales; Solanaceae
Description: long non-coding RNA (NTAB_LNC007385)
Source: RNAcentral
AUAGAUUAAAAUGUAUGACUAGGCGGCUAUUAAUGAUUGAAAAAUAUUUCACUUGAUAUUCAUUAUCUCGAAAAUUUUGAGUUAUAGUGUUACACCCCAUACUUUCCAUCACAUAUGAAGUUGAAUAUCAAUGAGGUUUUGGCACAACCAAUCGGUCGGCAACACGUCAUACGGACAAAGAGUGAUUACAUAUGCUCAAUUUACGCCAAUUGCCCCACUAGGCACAGAGUCGGUGCGGGCGGCCAGUUUGGCACUUAGGACGGUGGGAUUUCUAGACUUGAUCUAAAAAGGCGGUACAACUUUCUUCUCUUUCAUUUUAAAAUUCAUCGCCAGCUUCAGCCCAACCAAAAUGCCUCAAAGCCCUUUACGAACUUCUAAAUGAUUCAAGGUUAAGUCAAGGAGAAAAUAGUAGGAUUUAGCAUAAAGAAUCUUGUGAUCAUCACUGUAUUGUCUUCUUGUUAUACUGAUUUUGGAGAUACCCUGGAGGCGGAGAUAAUCGCCAUAGACGUGUGAGAAUUCAGGAAGCGUAACUAGUUCUUCAACAAGACAUGUAAGGCACUUCUUCUCCUUGGCAUGUCUUUAUGUAAGCGCUUUUUUCUGAAUCAUCCAUUUGUGAUAACACUGAAUUGCUUAAGGCCUCUCUUGACAAGGUUGUUCAUGUUCUUGUAUGUUUUUUGUCUGAGGCAUUUUCUCUCCAAUUUGAGAUAUUUCUGGAUGAUAUUUUGAGGUGAUAAAAUGUAAUUCAUUCUGAUUCUGAUCUUCAUAUCUCUUGAAAUCGACCUUGCAUUACACACACACACAUAGGAGCUCUAUAAGCGGCCGAAUACGGCACCUAAUGUGCAGCCAUUGAUUAGUUGGGUAUAAGGAGACAUGAUGUGAAUUAUUCACCGAGCUCUCAUGUGGCCUGUUAUGAUCGAGGCCUUCAUGAGGCCAGGUACGGAAGGAUGUGUUAUGAGAUACUACCGAGAUCUUUCGAGGCCAAAUACGCCAAGUCCUAUUGAGCCCAAACUGGGACCUCUUGAGGCCGUAAAAGCAAAAACCUUUGCCAAGUCCUCUAUGAGGCCGGGAAUGACAUGAGAUGAUAAGUCCCAAAUAGUGGAUAAAUAAUAUUAUAUUAUAUCUAAUGUGUAUUCUUAGUGAGUGGCUUAACCUUUUACAAAACUUGGACACAUUCAUGAUUCAUAAUCACUCCAGUACAUGCCCCCAGUGGCUUAUUUUCGGUGCUCAGGUUGAGUGGCGUAUUCAUGUCUCUUAUGUUAUGUUCUUGGUUUACAUAUAUUAUCAAUGUUACAUAAUCAAUACAUCUUUCGUACUGAUAUCCUUUUCUUUUGGGUGUUGUGUCCAUGCUCACAGGUACAGAUAGACCCGGUGACGUCCCUCCCUAGUAGGGUGUACAUUUCAACGGUUGGUUGCCACACUCCACUUAUUUGAAAUAACUGUACAUAAUUCAAUAAGUACUGGAGUAUGUGUCUUUAUCAUUUUGGGUAUGUGUAUGCGGUGAAAUCCAUAGGGUAAAAUUUUAUAGUCAUUAUGACGCUUCGUGGGCACGCCUCCAAAGGCUCGAGACAAUGGUCUAGGUUUGACCCCGAGAGGUUAUCAACGUUUGACCUCGGGGAAGUACAGAUCGGUAGUUGUGAUGGAAAAAUGGGAAGUUCCCAAGGCACGUGAUUUAGGCUGACCGAGUCUAUUAGGCUAGUAUAAGCCCGUACCGUGGUAUUAAAUGACUAUACCAACCAUAUAUCUAUGUAAUAAAUGCAUUUAUACUAUGUUGGAAUUCCCUCUCAUAUAUAAAGAGGACCCUUGUCAUUUUGUAAAGGAGGAGAAUAUCACACACAACAUUCAAUACAAGAACAUUCCCUGCUCUCUAACACAUUCUCCUUGAUUCUAUUAUUUACAUUUAUUGCUUGCAUUUAUUGUGUUCCAUUAAUUGCUCUUCAUUUAUUGCUCAUUAUUGAUCAUAAAGAGCUCAGAUCAAAGCUCCUAUAAUUAUUAGUCCUUCAUCGGCCGGUCACAACUCAACGCUAAGCUCGACCUCGAGGCCCCGUAUAGGCCAGCUCGAGGCCCAUAUCCUCAACCAUUCGGUUUGCUUAAACAUACUGGUUUCAAAGUUUUUAUCUCAU